CAGAAUAUGUACAGACAAAAACAAGUAUGCUAAUGAAAUUUCUUCAAAUACUAUAAACAAUUAGUGAAGACUGCUACUAUAGGCUGCUGCUGUAUUUUUAAGAGGCUCAACUUCAAAUACCUCAACCUUUUAUGGAAAGAUGGAAACACACAACAAACUAUGUUCCUGUGACAGCCGAGGAGGCGGCCCCGCGGGAACCAGGUCCUGCGAGGAGGGCGGUCGGCCGCUCCCUCCCGACUCGCCGGCGGCCCAGGG
Gorilla gorilla gorilla (western lowland gorilla) is the source of this 255-nucleotide long non-coding RNA. RefSeq lists it as uncharacterized. Lineage: Eukaryota; Metazoa; Chordata; Mammalia; Primates; Hominidae. The record is from RefSeq and is a predicted model, not a curated record. The transcript is spliced from 3 exons.